GCGGCACGCUUAACACAUGCAAGUCGAACGAGAUCUUCGGAUCUAGUGGCAGACGGGUGAGUAACGCGUGGGAACCUGCCCAGUAGUAGAGAAUAACUUGGGGAAACUUAAGCUAAUACUUUAUACGUCCUUAGGGAGAAAGCUUUAUGCGCUAUUGGAUGGGCCCGCGUUAGAUUAGUUUGUUGGUGAGGUAAUGGCUCACCAAGGCGACGAUCUAUAGCUGGUCUGAGAGGAUGAUCAGCCACACUGGGACUGAGACACGGCCCAGACUCCUACGGGAGGCAGCAGUGGGGAAUAUUGGACAAUGGGGGCAACCCUGAUCCAGCGAUGCCGCGUGAGUGAUGAAGGCCCUAGGGUUGUAAAACUCUUUCGUCAGGGAAGAUAAUGACGGUACCUGAAGAAGAAGAUCCGGC
RNAcentral lists this ribosomal RNA (413 nucleotides) under uncultured Pseudomonadota bacterium. RNAcentral's name for it is "bacterial SSU rRNA". It matches the Rfam family "Bacterial small subunit ribosomal RNA", at positions 39 to 497 of the family's 1533-position model. The record is from RNAcentral. Lineage: Bacteria; Pseudomonadati; Pseudomonadota.